Molecule: ribosomal RNA, 342 nt
Filed under: Aquitalea sp.
Lineage: Bacteria; Pseudomonadati; Pseudomonadota; Betaproteobacteria; Neisseriales; Chromobacteriaceae
Description: bacterial SSU rRNA
Rfam family: Bacterial small subunit ribosomal RNA
Source: RNAcentral
UGCUGCGUGUCUGUCCUCAUCUCGUGUCGUGAGAUGUUGGGUUAAGUCCCGCCACGAGCGCCCCCCUUGCCAUUAGGUGCCAUCAUUAAGUUGGGCACUCUAAUGGGACUGCCGGUGACAAACCGGAGGAAGGUGGGGAUGACGUCAAGUCCUCAUGGCCCUUAUGACCAGGGCUUCACACGUCAUACAAUGGUCGGUACAGAGGGUAGCCAAGCCGCGAGGUGGAGCCAAUCUCAUAAAACCGAUCGUAGUCCGGAUCGCACUCUGCAACUCGAGUGCGUGAAGUCGGAAUCGCUAGUAAUCGCAGAUCAGCAUGCUGCGGUGAAUACGUUCCCGGGUCUU